Molecule: long non-coding RNA, 1985 nt
Organism: Mustela putorius furo (domestic ferret)
Lineage: Eukaryota; Metazoa; Chordata; Mammalia; Carnivora; Mustelidae
Source: Ensembl
CACCGUCCUCACCUCCCGCCAGCCAACCCACACACGCACCUGGGGUUGAAUUUAGCCUCGUCUCCAAGUCGCGCCUGGAAGUCCUGCCAAGCCUGGCCGGCGCUCGCCCGACCCCAGGGGGCUGCCAGCGCGUCCCCGUCGCCCUCGUCCUCUUGGCUGUCCUCGGGGUCGGGUCCCACCUGGGCUGAGGCGGACGCGGACUCCCAGGGAGCCCAUCCUCGGUGCCGCCCCCCGCGGCAGGACCCACGGAAGCCGCGCGCGAACUCCUGGAAGGUGAUGGCGNNNNNNNNNNNNNNNNNNNNNNNNNNNNNNNNNNNNNNNNNNNNNNNNNNNNNNNNNNNNNNNNNNNNNNNNNNNGAACUCCUCGCGCUCCAGGCGCCCCGAGCGGUUCGCGUGGCAGGCAGCGAAGAGCGAGCGCAGAGAUCUGUAGGAUCUGACAAGCGUCCUCUGUCUACGAACUGCAGCGUCCAUUAUGACGAUCAUAGACAGACGUGAUGAGCAAGAGGGAUGAUAGUGGUGAAGUUGCAAAGAGGAGAGGAAGCAUGUUGGUUCUGUAAAUCCAGCAGAAGUGUGUGUGGGCCCAGUGGUCUGCUAACCCAAGGGCAUAGAUCUGCGGUAAAUACUGUUGUAAAUGAAUAGAAAAGACCAGGGUAGUUUGAAUUCAUGUCUAUUUUACAUGCCCCUCUUAUUUCCAUUCGGACCCAUUUCCAGACCCUGCAUCUAGUAUGUAGAUGCAGUUCCACAGGAGGAAACCAAGUAUAACCUUUAUAUUUUUUGUAGACCAACAGGGGGUCACACCCUAAAAUACCACCGCAGAACAAAUGAAUUCGAUAAAAAGGGCUUCAUGUGUGACUAUUCCAAACUGAUAAAUGAUUGUCUCAUAUAUUAUCUUUAAUCAGAGAUUUUAAAUUCAACAGAUGUUAACUAGACUUAUUGUGGUGAUAAUUUUGCAGUAUAUACAAAUACUGAAUUUUUAUGUUGUCUGCCUGAAACUUAUAUAAUCUUAGGUAUCAGUUAAAUUCCAAUAAAAAUAAUAAGUAAAUCAAGCAGUUUAGCUCUAGAAAAAUAGGACAGUAUGUAUUUAUCAUUGUAACACAUUGUAAAAUAUGUAUGUUUUAUACAUAUUCAUGUAUUCUACUUUAAAAUGUAUUCAGUGUAUCAAGAAAACCUGAGAAUCACCUGGAAAACUUUUCAUGAAAUGGUAUACUGGAACAAAUAUUUACAAAAUUUUUUAAAAAGUGAUCAUCAAUGCCAUAAUAUCUAUAAAGAAUAUUACAAAUCUAUGAAGCUACACAUAUAUAUGUUUCUCUUUUUUUGAGAUUUUAUUUUUUUGAGAGAGAGAGAGAGAGCGCGCAAGAGUAGGGAGAGAGGCAGAGUAAAAGGUAGAAGCAGGCUCCCCAGUGAGCAGGAAGCCUGAAGCAGGUCUCAGUCCCAGGUCCCUAAGAUCACAACCCUAGCAGAAAGCAGCUGCUUAACUGACUGAGCCACCCAGGCACCCCCCAAGAUAUAUGUUUGAAUAGUACAAGGAAACCCCCCAACACAGAAAUAAAUAAAUGCAAAAUACCAUUUUAAAAAGGGGAGCCUGCUUUUCCCUCUUCCUCUGCUGUUCCCCCUGCUGGUGCUCUCCCUCUCUCUCAAAUAAAUAAAAAUCUUUAAAUAAUAUAUUAAAAAAUUUAAUGUCAAGAAGCAUCAGCAAAUCAAAUCAAAAUAAGAUAUGCUGUCCAUAACAUUGGCUCUGUAUGUACCAGAGCACUGAGGUCUCCACUGGUUGGGCAAGGCAGGCAGGUCCACAUACCACUGUUGGAAGAAUGCACUGUACAGCCUUUCCAAGAGCACUUUAGCAAUAUUAAUUUGAAAACCUUAAAAAUGUUAAUUUCCUAAUUUUUUGAACUAGUAAUUCUAUUUUUUAGGGCUUUCUAUGAAUGAAAUAAUCAAAAAUGCAAAUAUUUGCAUAUGAGAAUAUUUUUUACUAUGUUAUUUUUUAU